Molecule: ribosomal RNA, 253 nt
Filed under: uncultured bacterium
Lineage: Bacteria
Description: partial 16S ribosomal RNA
Rfam family: Bacterial small subunit ribosomal RNA
Source: RNAcentral
UACGAAGGGGGCUAGCGUUGUUCGGAAUUACUGGGCGUAAAGCGUAUGCAGGCGGAUCGUUAAGUCGGGGGUGAAAUCCCGAGGCUCAACCUCGGAACUGCCUUCGAUACUGGCGAUCUUGAGUCCGGGAGAGGUGAGUGGAACUCCGAGUGUAGAGGUGAAAUUCGUAGAUAUUCGGAAGAACACCAGUGGCGAAGGCGGCUCACUGGCCCGGUACUGACGCUGAGGAGCGAAAGCGUGGGUAGCAAACAGG